This is a long non-coding RNA of Molossus molossus (Pallas's mastiff bat), 511 nucleotides long. RefSeq lists it as uncharacterized. The record is from RefSeq and is a predicted model, not a curated record. Lineage: Eukaryota; Metazoa; Chordata; Mammalia; Chiroptera; Molossidae. The transcript is spliced from 4 exons.
UGUCCCGGCUGACGCUCCAACCCACUGAGCAACAUGGCCAGGGGGGUGACACUCUCCGGUUUCGAAGGACAGCUCACCAAGGCCCCCCAGUAAAAGCUGCAUGAAGGCGGCUCUGGAUUUCUUCCCAGCCCGUCAGGUCACAAGGAGACUCAGCUGUCUGCAGCCUGGAGAAGGGCUCUGACCAGACACAAGUCAGCCAGCACCUUGAUCUCGGACUCCUGGCUCCAGGAACAAAUAUCUUCAGGUGAGGAUUGAAAAAAACGAAAGGAAGAACCGGGGAAGCUACUCUAAAUGGAAGUAGUCGGGGGCGGUUUACUCCUGAGCUGCAAACCGAAUGAUGAGGAGCUGGCCAAGGAGACGUCUGCGGGAAGAGCAUUCUGAGUGAAGGAGCAGCAAGCGCAAAAGCCCUGAGGCUGGAACAGGCUUGGAUGCCAGAACCCGGAGAGCAGUGUACCGGGAGUGUGAUAAGAAAAGUUAAACACAGGAAGAAAACAGCGGAGCUGGGAUUUGA